This 1773-nucleotide ribosomal RNA is filed under the name Triticum aestivum (bread wheat). RNAcentral describes it as "partial small subunit ribosomal RNA". The record is from RNAcentral. Lineage: Eukaryota; Viridiplantae; Streptophyta; Magnoliopsida; Poales; Poaceae.
AUGGCCGGCGGCGACGCCAAGCCCCUCGCCGGCGGCGCCUUCCUCCGCUUCCUCCUCCCGGCCCCCAAGCCGGAGCCGACCCCUCCCGCCCGCCUCGCCCCGCCGCACUGCCUCGUCGCGCCCGCCCAGCCGGACCCGCCCCCCGGCGCCCUGCCGGACGAGCGCCUCUUCAUCGUGGCCCCCACGCGCCCCGCCUGGCUCCCUCCGCAGCCGCGGCCGCAGCCGCAGCACCCUUUCUCAGUCCCUCCGGCGCGGCGCGUCCACCCGGCCGCCGGCGCCGCGCGCAAUGCGGGCCGCUUCGCCGCCGGCCGGGGCGGCCAGGCGAGGCGGAGGGCCGGGGAUUUCGCCGGGAGCAGGGCCCGCGCGGGCCCAGAUAGGCGGAAGGCGGGCGGGGGCCUCGCCGUGAAGGCGAACGGAGGCGAGGCCGGCGCCGGGGACAGGCGGGCGGCGGCGGCGGCGCGGAGGGAGAAGAGGGUGUGGGUUGCCGUGGAGAGGAAGGGCGCAAGUGGCGGCAGCGACGCCGACGACCCGGCGGCCGUGGGUGGGGGAUACGCGGGCGGAGACGAGGCCGGGGGGAGCGUCGAAGGGGAAGAGCAGCUGGAACCGGACGACGGCGAUGGCCGGCGUCUCGGGGAGGAAUUGGAGGAUUCUCUCCUCAUCGCCGGCGAUCAAGAGUGCCAUGACAGCGACGGCGGCCAGCAGUCAAGCGAGAACACCAUGUCGCAAUCGAAUCAGUCACGGCGGCUGCAAAUCAGAACACACACGGGGUGGAUGGAAUGCCGCCAUGACAUCGGCACCUUCGCCCCCGGCUUGCUCUCCAUCUACGAAUCCCUCAAGCCGUCAGAGGAUCACAUGUCCAAGCAGAGCCGGCUCAUCGACUCCCUAACAAAGUCAGUGAGCAAAGAAUGGCCCAACGCCCAGCUGCAUCUCUACGGAUCAUGCGCCAAUUCCUUUGGAACUUCCCACAGCGACGUCGAUGUCUGCCUCGAAAUCGAUAUCGGCACGGGGAGCGAGGUGGAGCUUCUUCUGCGGCUGGCGGAGAUCUUGCGCGGCGAUAAUUUCGACAGUGUGGAGGCGAUUACCAGUGCUAGAGUGCCCAUUGUGAGGAUGUUGGAUGCAGGGAGUGGCUUCUCUUGUGACAUUUGCAUCAACAAUCUGCUUGCUGUCGCCAACACGAAGCUUCUCAAGGAUUAUGCGCAGAUAGAUGGUAGAUUGCUUCAGCUGGCCUCCAUUGUCAAGCACUGGGCCAAACUGAGGGGUGUCAAUGAGACAUACCGCGGAACCCUCUCCAGCUAUGCAUAUGUGCUUAUGUGCAUCAGUUUCUUACAGCUGAGGGAGCCCAAGAUUCUCCCCUGUUUGCAGGCUAUGGAACCCACAUAUACCAUGGUUGUUGAUGACACUGAAUGCGCUUAUUUCGACGAAGUUCAUCAGCUUCAUGAUUUUGGGGCUGAAAACAAGGAGACCGUCGCGGAAUUACUCUGGGCAUUUUUCCAUUACUGGGCAUUCCAGCAUGAUUACAGGAAAGAUGUCAUCUCCAUCCGUAUGGGAAAGAUAAUCAGCAAGAAGGAGAAGAACUGGACGACUCGCAUUGGAAACGACCGCCAUCUGAUCUGCAUCGAGGACCCUUUCGAGACCGGCCAUGACUUGGGCCGCAUAGUCGACAGGCAGACAAUCAGGAUCAUCAGGGAGGAGUUUGAGAGAGCCGCUGCCAUGCUGCAGCAUGAUGAUGAUCCUUGCUCAACCCUUUUCGAGCCCUACAAUUAUGAAAACUAA